Molecule: long non-coding RNA, 1225 nt
Organism: Mesocricetus auratus (golden hamster)
Lineage: Eukaryota; Metazoa; Chordata; Mammalia; Rodentia; Cricetidae
Exons: 5
Source: RefSeq, a predicted model, not a curated record
CUGUCUCGGUCCCUGCCUCCGUCCCUGCCUCCGUCCCUGCCUCCGUCUCUCUCUCCCCAGCCCGCUCGCCCUCGCACCUUACACAACGGCGAGUGGAGCCACGAGCGACGGAUUGGCCGCUUGGAACUCGGCGCUAGGCUGCGGGGCCUUAGGCGCGCACAGGUUGGCAAAGAACAAGGAUGGGUCAGGCUGGGAGAGAACUGAGAGGUCUGGAUGACCUGGGAUUCCCAGAAUGAGGUGGCUGAGGCCUCUGUGACCUCACAAUUGAACCCUGCCCUAGUAAUGCCUGGGUCUUACCUGAGGACAAGCCAGAGUCCAGAAGGAGGGCUUGAACCACAGCAAGUGCAUGUGACUGGGUGACAGCUGCUGAGGCAGAGCCAGCACCUGCCUUGGAACUCCAGUUUGCAAAUGACAAUAGGAAGAAGCUCUGCUGUUAUACAGAUAUCCAGAGUGAUAUUCUCAUAAGUCAUUGACUGUUUCAAGACAGGACCAGAAAUGCUGAAAAUAGACCAAGAUUUAGUCAAAGAUUUGGGCAAGCAUCGACUGGAAAGGAUUGACUACAUCCACCCUAAUGAUAAACAGGAGAUUUGUUAUCUUGGAGGACCCAGGAGCAGAAGCUAUGGCUGUCAGGAUAUCUGGGCCACAGGAGAGAAACAAUCUGGGCAGACACUGGCAUGAUGGGUGUGUGGGCCGCACCCAGGAGUCAUUGUGUGCCCAACUGCUACCUGGUCUUCAAGAGAUCCAGGACAAGAUGGUCUCAUGUGUGUUAACACCAACAAUUCAGAGGAAACUGGAACCACCACAAGGACCAGCAUAAGCUUCAAGACUCUGCUCCAAACCCUCAUAUUCUGAGUUACCUAGCAACUCUGUUGACCUUCAGCUAAACUUGGCCACUCCGUUGACGUUGACCUUCAAUUUGAUAUGAUUAAAAACAUCAAGUAACUUAACAAUGUGAUGACCCUGGAGUACAGACACAAUUUUAAUGUGGAUGUCUAGUAGAAAACACUGAAAUCCACACUCUGGUGGAAACUAGACGUAGAUUCUUAUGUUUUCAUAGUGUCACCAGAGCCUACCUAGAAGAAGCAAGACUUAUACCCUGAUUUCUAUAGAUCUCUACCUUUAUCUUAUGUACCUAACACAGUGUCAUCUUACAAUAUUCUUUGUCAACUAUUUCCUGCCCUACCAUUAUGUAUAUAGUCUUCAAUAAAUAUAAGGUUUCAUUGUG